Molecule: long non-coding RNA, 596 nt
Organism: Chenopodium quinoa (quinoa)
Lineage: Eukaryota; Viridiplantae; Streptophyta; Magnoliopsida; Caryophyllales; Amaranthaceae
Exons: 2
Source: RefSeq, a predicted model, not a curated record
UUGAAACCAAGAUCAGGGUACUUCCGUGGAAAGGGAACUGCCUUGCCUGGCUUCAGCAAAGGAAGACAUCAAUUAGAGCAUCAAAGCUUAAUACGUGAGCAACAAAAGAAAAUUCAGGAGCAACAAGAAUUAAUUAAGGAGUUGCAAGAGAAUCAGGAAAGAACUACCAAACAAUUAGAAGAGACUCAGGAAGCAACAGCAAGACAAUUACAACAACAAAAAGAGGAGACACAACGUGCAAUGAAUGCAAUGAAGGAAGAAUUACUCAGAGCACUUGGUAAUAGAGUUGCAAGUUAAACAUCAAAUAUUUCCAGGUUAUGUUGGAAAAGUAUUAGUAAAUGCAUGGAGAAAGUGUGCAGAUGAUAUGUAGUAUAGGUUUUAUUUUGCACAAUGACUACUUGUUGUACAUUGGUGGGAUGACUAGAAAAUUAGCCUUUUGGAACAAAGAUGGAUGUAAUCUUUUGGGAGAAGUCAUGUUUAAUGUUGACUUAGACUAUUAGAUGUAUAUAUUUAUCUAAUGUUUUGGAUAUAAUCACUUGUGUUAUGUUAAAUAUUACACAUGUUAAAUAGAUAUUAACUUAUUAGCAAUUUACCUA